GACGAACGCUGGCGGCGUGCCUAAUACAUGCAAGUCGAACGCAGUGGGGACGGGUGAGUAACCCGUGGGUAACCUCCCAUCAGAGGGGAAAACACUUGGAAACAGGUGCUAAACCGAUACUGAUGGAUGGACCCGCGGUGCAUUAGCUAGUUGGUGAGGUAACGGCGCACCAAGGCGACGAUCCGUAGCUGGUUUGAGAGGACGACCAGCCACACUGGAACUGAGACACGGCCCAGACUCCUACGGGAGGCAGCAGUGGGGAAUUUUGGACAAUGGGCGAAACCCUGAUCCAGCCAUGCCGCGUGUGCGAUGAAGGCCUUCGGGUUGUAAAGCACUUUUGGCAGGAAGGCGGUACCUGCAGAAGAAGCACCGGCUAACUUCGUGCCAGCAGCCGCGGUAAUAC
Molecule: ribosomal RNA, 403 nt
Filed under: uncultured bacterium
Lineage: Bacteria
Description: partial 16S ribosomal RNA
Rfam family: Bacterial small subunit ribosomal RNA
Source: RNAcentral